CCUACGGGAGGCAGCAGUGGGGAAUUUUGGACAAUGGGCGAAAGCCUGAUCCAGCAAUGCCGCGUGAGUGAAGAAGGCCUUCGGGUUGUAAAGCUCUUUUGUCAGGGAAGAAACGGUGAGGGCUAAUAUCCCUUGCUAAUGACGGUACCUGAAGAAUAAGCACCGGCUAACUACGUGCCAGCAGCCGCGGUAAUACGUAGGGUGCAAGCGUUAAUCGGAAUUACUGGGCGUAAAGCGUGCGCAGGCGGUUUUGUAAGUCUGUCGUGAAAUCCCCGGGCUCAACCUGGGAAUUGCGAUGGAGACUGCAAGGCUAGAAUCUGGCAGAGGGGGGUAGAAUUCCACGUGUAGCAGUGAAAUGCGUAGAGAUGUGGAGGAACACCGAUGGCGAAGGCAGCCCCCUGGGUCAAGAUUGACGCUCAUGCACGAAAGCGUGGGGAGCAAACAGGAUUAGAUACCCUGGUAGUCCACGCCCUAAACGAUGUCUACUAGUUGUCGGGUUUUAAUUAACUUGGUAACGCAGCUAACGCGUGAAGUAGACCGCCUGGGGAGUACGGUCGCAAAGNUUAAAACNCGAAAGAUUGACGNNGAGAGNGCGAGACGACGACGAGGGAGGAGG
Molecule: ribosomal RNA, 616 nt
Filed under: uncultured bacterium
Lineage: Bacteria
Description: bacterial SSU rRNA
Rfam family: Bacterial small subunit ribosomal RNA
Source: RNAcentral